RNAcentral lists this long non-coding RNA (201 nucleotides) under Vitis vinifera (wine grape). RNAcentral describes it as "long non-coding RNA (VVIN_LNC005118)". The record is from RNAcentral. Lineage: Eukaryota; Viridiplantae; Streptophyta; Magnoliopsida; Vitales; Vitaceae.
AAGAACGGCUGAACGCUAGGGUUUUCUUGUGGAAACCUUUGCUUCGCCUCCGUGACAGAGUGUAGAAAGAUGAGAGGAAUGGGUACCAAAUGAGACAGAGGGAGGAACAAUGGUCAGUCGCCUAUGGUGUUUUUUGUGUUUGAUUUUGCAAAAGAAAACCGGUUCAGUUUCAGCCCGUGCUGAGAUGGGCUGCUGACGUGG